GACGAACGCUGGCGGCGUGCUUAACACAUGCAAGUCGAACGGAAAGGCCCUGCUUUUGUGGGGUGCUCGAGUGGCGAAAGGGUGAGUAACACGUGAGUAACCUGCCCUUGACUUUGGGAUAACUUCAGGAAACUGGGGCUAAUACCGGAUAGGAGCUCCUGCUGCAUGGUGGGGGGUGGAAAGUUUCGGCGGUUGGGGAUGGACUCGCGGCUUAUCAGCUUGUUGGUGGGGUAGUGGCUUACCAAGUCUUUGACGGGUAGCCGGCCUGGGAGGGUGACUGGCCACAUUGGGACUGAGAUACGGCCCAGAGUCCUACGGGAGACAACAGUGGGGAAUAUUGCACAGUGGGCGGAAGCCUGAUACAGCAACGCCGCGUGCGGGAUGACGGCCUUCGGGUUGUAAACCGCUUUCGCCUGUGACGAAGCGUGAGUGACGGUAAUGGGUAAAGAAGCACCGGCUAACUACGUG
Molecule: ribosomal RNA, 468 nt
Filed under: uncultured bacterium
Lineage: Bacteria
Description: partial 16S ribosomal RNA
Rfam family: Bacterial small subunit ribosomal RNA
Source: RNAcentral